GAGCUGACUUUUAUUUUGAUUUUGACAGUUGUCUGAAGUGAUCUCAUGCCUUGAAUCACGUGUGCAUGUUUGUUUGAAAGUACAACAGUAGUGUCCUUUCCAGCCUGUAAGUUUUGUACUUAAACUUGUUUAAAUUUGGAGAAUGAUCUUGCUUUAUGAAUUUUGUGAAGCAUAGUGUUUUGCCCUCGAAUCUUGGAGUGAUUCUUGCUUGGAUUUAUCCUUGUAUAUUUAUGGUGAAAU
RNAcentral lists this long non-coding RNA (240 nucleotides) under Cicer arietinum (chickpea). RNAcentral describes it as "long non-coding RNA (CARI_LNC002014)". Lineage: Eukaryota; Viridiplantae; Streptophyta; Magnoliopsida; Fabales; Fabaceae. The record is from RNAcentral.